UACGAAGGGGGCUAGCGUUGUUCGGAAUUACUGGGCGUAAAGCGCGCGCAGGCGGUCUUCCAAGUCAGUGGUGAAAGCCCGGAGCUCAACUCCGGAACUGCCAUUGAAACUGUGAGACUUGAGGAUGAGAGAGGUGAGUGGAAUUCCCAGUGUAGAGGUGAAAUUCGUAGAUAUUGGGAAGAACAUCGGUGGCGAAGGCGGCUCACUGGCUCAUUUCUGACGCUCAGGCGCGACAGCGUGGGGAUCAAACAGG
This 253-nucleotide ribosomal RNA is filed under the name uncultured bacterium. RNAcentral describes it as "partial 16S ribosomal RNA". It matches the Rfam family "Bacterial small subunit ribosomal RNA", at positions 524 to 776 of the family's 1533-position model. The record is from RNAcentral.